GCUACACAUGCAGUCGAGCGGUAACAGGAGAAGCUUGCUUCUCGCUGACGAGCGGCGGACGGGUGAGUAAUACUUAGGAAUCUACCUAGUAGUGGGGGAUAGCACGGGGAAACUCGUAUUAAUACCGCAUACGACCUACGGGAGAAAGGGGGCAGUUUACUGCUCUCGCUAUUAGAUGAGCCUAAGUCGGAUUAGCUAGAUGGUGGGGUAAAGGCCUACCAUGGCGACGAUCUGUAGCUGGUCUGAGAGGAUGAUCAGCCACACCGGGACUGAGACACGGCCCGGACUCCUACGGGAGGCAGCAGUGGGGAAUAUUGGACAAUGGGGGAAACCCUGAUCCAGCCAUGCCGCGUGUGUGAAGAAGGCCUUUUGGUUGUAAAGCACUUUAAGCAGUGAAGAAGACUCCAUGGUUAAUACCCAUGGACGAUGACAUUAGCUGCAGAAUAAGCACCGGCUAACUCUGUGCCAGCAGCCGCGGUAAUACAGAGGGUGCAAGCGUUAAUCGGAAUUACUG
This 514-nucleotide ribosomal RNA is filed under the name bacterium fme09x28p132. RNAcentral's name for it is "bacterial SSU rRNA". It matches the Rfam family "Bacterial small subunit ribosomal RNA", at positions 48 to 556 of the family's 1533-position model. The record is from RNAcentral.